AUUUUUAUGUCUUAAAUUAUUCAUCUCAUAGGACAACUUGAUUAGAACCGAGGGCAAAACAAAGAAAUAUAAAUUUAGAUUCCAGAUGACAUGGGAUUAGGUGUAGGACAUUCAGCUGGGCACGAAUUUUAGACUAAUAUAAUAUAUACACACUGUGUUUAAUUAAUUACUAGUCUUAGUUUUAAGAAUGUUAUCGCUCUAAAUAUUGC
Pelobates cultripes (western spadefoot toad) is the source of this 209-nucleotide non-coding RNA. Lineage: Eukaryota; Metazoa; Chordata; Amphibia; Anura; Pelobatidae. The record is from the annotation of a GenBank genome assembly.